This 423-nucleotide ribosomal RNA is filed under the name uncultured Bacteroidota bacterium. RNAcentral's name for it is "bacterial SSU rRNA". It matches the Rfam family "Bacterial small subunit ribosomal RNA", at positions 8 to 425 of the family's 1533-position model. Lineage: Bacteria; Pseudomonadati; Bacteroidota. The record is from RNAcentral.
AGAGUUUGAUCAUGGCUCAGGAUGAACGCUAGCGGCAGGCUUAAUACAUGCAAGUCGUGGGGCAGCGCGGGUAGCAAUACCUGGCGGCGACCGGCAAACGGGUGCGGAACACGUACGCAACCUUCCCAUAACAGGUGAAUAGCCUUUCGAAAGAGAGAUUAAUACACCGUAACAUAAUGAAAAGGCAUCUUUUUGUUAUUAUAGGCUUCGGCCGGUUUUGGAUGGGCGUGCGGCUGAUUAGGUAGUUGGCGGGGUAACGGCCCACCAAGCCUGCGAUCAGUAACUGGUGUGAGAGCACGACCAGUCACACGGGCACUGAGACACGGGCCCGACUCCUACGGGAGGCAGCAGUAAGGAAUAUUGGUCAAUGGACGCAAGUCUGAACCAGCCAUGCCGCGUGAAGGAUGAAAGUCCUCUGGAUUG